This 4433-nucleotide long non-coding RNA is filed under the name Gallus gallus (chicken). RNAcentral describes it as "lncRNA (ENSGALG00010019303.1)". The record is from RNAcentral. Lineage: Eukaryota; Metazoa; Chordata; Aves; Galliformes; Phasianidae.
CAGGCAUGUCCCCAGAGUGGGAUGAGGUGGGAGUAGUAGGUAUGUAAGAUGUUUUUGUUUUUUUCCUGAUGUUAUCCCCAUUUUCCCAGGUCCCAGCUUCAGACAGUUGUCUGCCAUCUGCUUUGGCCAGACACCAAGACGCUAGCAAUUGGCUGGCAUUGCUGCCAUGAGCAAAGACAGAGUUGACACCUUUCACCUCUGGAGAAGGUUGGAACAACAGGCAUCUAGCUGAAAUCCCAUGUCACCAACUAGAAGCAAAAUACACCUUUCAAUCAGCCUUGUCAAAACGAUGAAGUAGCAGGAAUCUCCUUGGAGAGCAAUGUAUCACAACAGUUUUCAAGACAGUUUCCAAAUCGAAGAUGACUUCCAAGGAACAGCAAGGAUGUAAUCUUGGAGCCAAUCAAACCAGUGGCAAAAAUCCCACUUUCUGCAUGAUCUUCUUAAUGCAGCCUCUGACAUUUUGGAGCUUCAUAUAUUAUGGUUAAAAGCUCUUAUCCUAUCAGCUGAAGUGAAUCAAGGUGGGAGGAGGUGAAGCAAUUGGAACGGGCAGUUUUUAAGGCUGCGCUGAGUAUAAGGGGAGUUAAGUGGAGAUAUGCCCCAAACAGAACCAGUGGACCUGGUGUCACACCUAACAGUUGUGUGAAGCAGCGCCCUAUCCCCUGGUAUUGCCAGGAGGAGCCGUGGAAGGAGGAAAUUCAAAGAGGAGUUACAGGACAGCGACCUGAGGAGAGAAGGAAGCCAAGCAAGGUGCACUGAAGAUGGGCCAAGGCCUACAUCCUAUGGAAACUCUUGGGAUAGAUGAAAUCCCACCACUGAUUGACACCUAUCUUCUUUAUCUUCUUUAGCACUUAGCCUCUAAAACUUGGUGGAAAUUCACAAGUCUGGAAGUGGUCGUUGCAUUCUUGAGUAAGAUGCCGUCCAUUUUACAACCGGCAUUUGUCUGUAGGUUCCACAAUGGCUCUUUUAUUUAAAUGCUCACUCCUUGCCUAAGGAUUAUUGACUGGAGCCUUUCAUUCCUGACAUCACCCAGUUUCUCCAUGCUGACCAGCUGUGUGUGGAGAAGCAGACUCAGAAGAUGGCUACUCCGGGGUCAGCACUGCCAGCCAGCUGCUUAUUCUUGCAUGGGAUAUCCGCCUACUCCUUGCAAAAGCAGUGCCUGGGUGACCCAUCUGCUAAUGCAGAGGGGCGCUUCUGAGGCCGAGCAGUUGCAUGGCCUGGCAGAAAUACAUUUUGGGGAGUGCACAGCUUAUGUUCACACACAAGAAAGAACUUUACAGCACCAGGCACUUAGAUGUCCUUCACGCCUUCACCUCUCUAAGGAAUACCCUUUCUGAGCCAUCCUGUGCUAACCUGGACAUUAGAAUGGAAUGCAGACAAACAUACAUAGCAACUUGUCCCCUCUGAUUUACCCAAAGUCAUUUCAUUUCUUUGUGUUCACCUGCAUUACUUUGAUCCAAGCAUUCAUUUCUUAGGCAGAAACUUUUUAUACACAUACAAUCUUUUUUUUUUUUUCCCCUUGAUAAAAAAAAUCUAAUAUCCUUCUCCCAGCCUAUGGAUGUCUGCUGAGAGUCCAUGGGUAUGAUUCCUAUAAGGCCAUUGCUGCUUGAGUGGGAAAGAAUGCACAGCAGUAAGGUAUCCUCAGGUUUCCAAACCACCUAGAAGUUUAGUAUGGUCUCAUUCUUCCAAAACACAAGUUCUGUCAACUAGAACAACAGCAACAAAAAAAAAAACCCUACAAGUUUAUUAUCUCCCAGCAUUAAAACACAGCCAUCUUUUUAUGAUGACCACACAACACUCCUGCAGACAUGACCAAUCAUUAGUUUUGCCUGACGAUCAGACCUACUCACCUGUCAGCCUAGCUGGCUUGCUGAUGGAAAUGCUGCUUCUCUGAGGGCCCAAACAGAGGCUUCAAGUGAAAGAGAGAAUGAGAAUUUGGCACAUAACCCUGAAAAGCCCCAGUACAACACUGGGGCUUCUUGGCACAAGUCACCAGUUUCAGCACCAGAGACUGCUGUGUCUGUAAGGUCAGGCCUAUUUCCCUCACCGUGCCCUGUGAGCUCCUCUAGCAAGCUCCAUCUUAAGUAAGGAAAUUGUUUGUGCUUGUAAUCACCAGUAGUUAGCAAGCCUUUUUCUAAUUUCAGCCUAUGUCCAUCCACAGCAGGUUGUAUUACCACUUCUUGUACCAGUGCAUGCCUUUCCCUAGAGAGCUCUUCUCAACCUUCCUUAAUUUUUAGCUAUGACAUAUUUAUAGGCAGAAAUUCUGGUCGCUGCCUUUCUCUGCUAACCCCUCCCACUGUCCCCUCUGUUGGCAGGCCCUGUUGUCCUUGACCACCUUGGUAACAUUUCUGCUAUUGCUCCUGCAUCAGCUCAUCUCUUUUGUUUCUCAGUGAUGAAAGAAGUGCACAACAUUGAAGCUGAACGCUCAUCUGUGCCUGGUGCACUAUCCCUGUCUGAUUUGCUCGCUACGACUGCAUUUCCCUUUUCAUGGCUACAGCAUAGUUGUGGCUCAAAGUCACCCUGUGAUUAGAGUACAUCGAAGUCUUCUUCCUCCCCGAGCAGCUUUAAGUGCAUGGCUCAUACUGAAUGUUUUCUUAGUAACAAUACCCAGCUCUGCGGUGAUCUGCAUGAGCUAUGGGUCUGGGCCCCUUCUCCAGAAGAGUCAGACUUUGCCAGCUGACACCAGCUGCAGAACCAGUUCUCAGUAUUCAGUGCACUUGGGGAGAAAGAAACAAGUAGUAAACCAAAGACAAACAGAGCUACAGUCAAACGUAUUAUAACACUACCAACCAAGACAGCUGCUUCUGCCAACAUGGAAACAAGAUAGGAACUAGAGUGUUUCUAUUUUUGCAUUCAAAUAGAAACAGAUGGAGAGGACUUGGGGAAUUUAUCAAACCAAAUAAAUAUUUUUCAUUUUAAAAUUUGAAUGGAAUGGAAAUUAUAAUCUGCCACUGUUACCAUGGAGCUGAAUAUUGUCCUUCCCCUCAUCCGGCCUUUAGCAGUAAGGAGUUGGUUGCGGCAGGGCUGGAGUUUUGCAGUUUUCUUCCUCACCCAACCCAGCUCUCUCCUUUGAAUUACACUGCCUGGUUACCGACUGCAGAAAGAAGAGUCAGGUUUUGCAAUAUUUUUUUUAUGGAUUGCUAGCUGAAAAAUGAGAACAAAAUGAACUUCUGGAUAGCAGGCACCACUGUUUUUCACUAUUCUUACCUAAGUUAAAGCAGUGAACCUCCACUUCCAAACUGAGAGGAGCCAAAGUGCCCAACUUCAGACCUUCCUGUGUGCCAGCUCCAAGCCAGUGGGAUGACUGGGAGGCUGGAGCCACACCAAAGCUGGGGAUUUUGAGCCAGAUUGCUGCCACCACCUUCUUAUCUCAGACCAAGAGCACCUGAGGCUGCCUAAAACCUGCUAGAAACAGCCCAGUGAGGUGGAGCACUUUCUUGCAAUGACUUACAGAAUGUCACAGCCAAAUCCAAAAAGUGUUUUAAAAGUGAGGAUGCAGUACAAAUGGAACAAACUUGGUCAUUAACUCUGGAUAUUCCACUGCCUCAAGAGUAGAACCUCUCUGCUUGGUCAAAUAGGUAAUAAAAUAGAUUAACAGAUAAUCUAAGAGGCUCUCCAUUGCCUUUUUUUUUUUUAAACUGUUUCCAGUAAACAGCCCCAUGCCUGUAAAUAUUUUAGAACAGGAAAAUAUUUAGUGACCCAGGUACUGAAAGGGCUGCCAUUAACCCUGCAAUAGACUUUUGCAUCCGCAAAUGCCCCUGAAAACAAAUGGAUUAGACUAAUUGCAUUCAUUCAGAUUAGCAAACAGCCCGAUAAGCCAGGACCGUGGUCCAUAAUGGCACAAUGCCCUUGGAGACUCCUUUCCUAGGACUGUAUCAGCAGUGCUACACACUGCAGGCAUCACACAAGUGUGCUGCUGCCAUUAAACUCCUGUUCUUUAAGAGCUUAAGAGGCCGAUUCAAACAUUUUUUCCUUCCUUGAACUGUAUUUAAAUCAAGUCACUUCUCUACAUUUUUCACCUGAAUAAAGAGCAUUUUUCUGUUAUGUUAAGGUUUGUAGGUGACGUCCUUUAAUGUUACUAUUAUUGUAAUUAUUUAAAAAAACACAACAAUAAAACAGUAAGUAUGACGCUUCCUUGUACUUCUUGGUUCGAGAUGGAAUCAGAAAUCCAAAAAGCAAAGCAUCUGCAAAAGCCCUGUGGUCGGGAGAUCCCUGAACUCCUCCAAACCAGGAGCGGAUGAAGAGCUUACAAGAAAAGUUGCUCUUCAGAGGUCCUCAGUCCAGUUAGCAGCAUCCACGGCAGGAUCGGAAUACACUCAGGGCAAUGGAUGCAGAGAGGAAACAGUCAGGUACCUUUCAAACAUGCAACCAAAGAGUUUGAGGCUUGCCUGUCACUUGUCUAGACACAUGUUUCAGAAGGGAAUACAAGAAAGAAA